ACCCACGGGUAGUCUCGGAACAAU
RNAcentral lists this non-coding RNA (24 nucleotides) under Arabidopsis thaliana (thale cress). Lineage: Eukaryota; Viridiplantae; Streptophyta; Magnoliopsida; Brassicales; Brassicaceae. The record is from RNAcentral.